This 273-nucleotide ribosomal RNA is filed under the name uncultured bacterium. Its description in RNAcentral is "partial 16S ribosomal RNA". It matches the Rfam family "Bacterial small subunit ribosomal RNA", at positions 85 to 354 of the family's 1533-position model. The record is from RNAcentral.
CCGCCGGCGACCGGCGCACGGGUGAGUAACACGUAUGCAACCUGGCCGUGACAGAUGGAUAACCGGGAGAAAUCCCGCCUAAUACAACAUAAUGCCGGGAGGGGACAUCCCCUGCCGGCCAAAGGGGGCGACCCCGGUCACGGAUGGGCAUGCGGCGCAUUAGGUAGUUGGUGGGGCAACGGCCCACCAAGCCGACGAUGCGUAGGGGUUCUGAGAGGAAGGUCCCCCGCAUUGGAACUGAGACACGGUCCAAACUCCUACGGAAGGCAGCAG